CGGCCAUGGGCUUCUGCUCUGAACGAGACAGCCAGGGUCCCAUCCCCUUAGAGGAGCCCCCAGUGCUCCCCUGAUGGAGGGACUGGAGAGGGUUGGAGUUCCUGGGAAGGCUUGCUGCUGGGUGGGAUUUGCAUUCAGCUGGCAUUUGUGUGAUGUGUACAUCUUUGUGCGUAUGACACUGUGUGUUUUACAAGCCCUUGCUCAUCCUCCAUUUGAAGACUUCAUUUAAUGAUUGUUUUAUAUUUCAUAUUUUUUGCUUUUCCUUCUCUUUUUUGUUGCUGGCUCUAGAAUCACUUUAAUCCCAUUGUGGCUUCCUGUGGCUUUCAGGAGCAUCUACUAACAGAGUUUUGUAGGAAACUGGCAGACGUUCUAAGUGGAGGGCCCAUGAGCUGUGCUGUGAGCAGAACAAGGGUCCAUUCUGCAAACGUGGAAGUCCUGUGGUUCCAGAACAUUCACCUGCAGAACAUUCACUCAGCAGGCUCCAGUCAAUGCUGGUCUCAGGUGCAGAGCCUGCUCCGGCCCCUGGAAAAUGGAGGAUCUCUACUACAAUCUACGUCAUAGGAUUACUGCAAUGAAAAAAUAGAGUGAAAUGAGCGAAAUGGAUAACAGAGUAUCAGGCACAGAUGGCCAUGAGGUACUGUAAGCCUCAUUGGUCACCAAGUAAUAAGAUAACAGAAACUCAGUACUGGUAGGCCCACACUAACUCUGAUGUUGAAAUCUCAUCCCCAAUGCAAUGACAUUAGGAUGCAGGCCCCUGGGAGGGGACUAACUCAUGGG
RNAcentral lists this long non-coding RNA (777 nucleotides) under Fukomys damarensis (Damara mole-rat). RNAcentral describes it as "lncRNA (ENSFDAG00000025421.1)". The record is from RNAcentral. Lineage: Eukaryota; Metazoa; Chordata; Mammalia; Rodentia; Bathyergidae.